This 816-nucleotide ribosomal RNA is filed under the name uncultured marine archaeon. Its description in RNAcentral is "bacterial SSU rRNA". It matches the Rfam family "Archaeal small subunit ribosomal RNA", at positions 20 to 839 of the family's 1478-position model. The record is from RNAcentral.
GAGACUACCGCUAUUGGAGUUCGAUUAAGCCAUGCGAGUCGCGAGAAAUUAGAUUCUCGGCGUACCGCUCAGUAACACGUGGGUAACCUGCCCUAUGCUGGAUAAUAACCUCGGGAAACUGAGUAUAAUGAUCCAUAGUUCACUACGCCUGGAACGGUGAGUGGACGAAAGCUCCGGCGGCAUAGGAUGGGCCUGCGGCGUAUCAGGUUGUAGGGGGUGUAACGUACCCUCUAGCCCUCUACGCGUACGGGUGUUGGGAGACAUAGCCCGGAGAUGGAUUCUGAGACACGAAUCCAGACCCUACGGGGUGCAGCAGGCGCGAAAACUUGGCAAUGCGAGAAAUCGUGACCAGGGAACUCCAAGUGCAUCGGGUAAGACCGGUGCUUUUCUUGACUCUAAAUAGGUCUUGGAAUAAGGGGUGGGUAAGGACGGUGCCAGCCGCCGCGGUAAUACCGGCGCCUCAAGUGGUAGUCGCUUUUAUUGGGCCUAAAACGUCCGUAGCCGGUCUGAUACAUUCGUGGGUAAAUCAACCAGCUCAACUGGUUGAAUUCUGCGAGGACGGUCAGACUUGGGACCGGGAGAGGUGUGGGGUACCGCUCAGGGUAGGGGUAAAAUCCUGUCAUCCUGAGCGGACCACCUGUUGCGAAGGCGCCACACUAGAACGGAUCCGACGGUCAGGGACGAAGCCUAGGGGCACGAACCGGAUUAGAUACCCGGGUAGUCCUAGGUGUAAACGCUGUGGACUUGAUGUUGGGGGUGCUCCGAGCACUCUCAGUGUCGAAGCGAAGGUGAUAAGUCCACUGCCUGGGAAAUACG